This 777-nucleotide ribosomal RNA is filed under the name uncultured Deferribacterales bacterium. RNAcentral describes it as "bacterial SSU rRNA". It matches the Rfam family "Bacterial small subunit ribosomal RNA", at positions 56 to 812 of the family's 1533-position model. Lineage: Bacteria; Pseudomonadati; Deferribacterota; Deferribacteres; Deferribacterales. The record is from RNAcentral.
UGCAGUCAGGGGAAGCAAUCUUCGGAUGGUGAGUAUACUGGCGGACGGGUGAGUAACGCGUAGGCAACCUGCCCUUAUGUUUGGGAUAACCUCGCGAAAGUGGGGCUAAUACCGGAUGUGGUGACAUUAACCUAAGUUGAUGUUAUUAAAGUUGCCAGGGGUGACCCUAGUAACGCAAAAGGAUGGGCCUGCGUUCCAUUAGCUAGUUGGUGAGGUAACGGCUCACCAAGGCGACGAUGGAUAGCUGGUCUGAGAGGACGAUCAGCCACACUGGGACUGAGAUACGGCCCAGACUCCUACGGGAGGCAGCAGUGGGGAAUAUUGCGCAAUGCCCGCAAGGGUGACGCAGCGACGCCGCGUGGGUGAAGACGCUCUACGGAGUGUAAAGCCCUGUCAGAGGGGAAGAACGGCAUUGAUUCGCAAGGGUUAGUGUGUGACGGUACCCUCAGAGGAAGCUCCGGCUAACUCCGUGCCAGCAGCCGCGGUAAUACGGGGGGAGCAAGCGUUGUCCGGAAUCACUGGGCGUAAAGGGCGUGUAGGCGGGCAAUCAAGUCAGAUGUAAAAGGCGACGGCUUAACCGUAGUAUGUCAUCUGAUACUGGUUGUCUUGAGUUCGAGAGAGGGUGGUGGAAUUCCCGGUGUAGCGGUGAAAUGCGUAGAUAUCGGGAAGAACACCUGAAGCGAAGGCGGCCACCUGGAUCGACACUGACGCUGAGGCGCGUGCAGUCAGGUGCAGUCAGGUGCAGUCAGGUGCAGUCAGGUGCAGUCAGGACGAUGG